GUUCUCGCUUCGGCAGCACAUAUACUAAAAUUGGAACGAUACAGAGAAGAUUAGCAUGACCCCCAGGCAAGGAUGACACACAAAUUCGUGACGCAUUCCAUAUUUUU
This 107-nucleotide small nuclear RNA is filed under the name Sciurus vulgaris (Eurasian red squirrel). The record is from RNAcentral. Lineage: Eukaryota; Metazoa; Chordata; Mammalia; Rodentia; Sciuridae.